This 235-nucleotide unclassified non-coding RNA is filed under the name Hevea brasiliensis (rubber tree). The record is from RNAcentral. Lineage: Eukaryota; Viridiplantae; Streptophyta; Magnoliopsida; Malpighiales; Euphorbiaceae.
AAUGUAAAGGAAAUUAGUCCUUUCUUUUGGUUUCCCCUAUCCUAUUUCUCUUGGUUUCCCAUGCAUAAUUAAGGAAUCAAACAAAGGGUAAAUGAAUUAUAUUUUGUCACAGACAGAAAUUUAAUUUAGAGGGUCCAAUUAAAAUAUAUGAUUUAUAACAAUAAUAUACAUGAAAUAAAUAAAAGUUGACGAGAAUUUCUUACAAAAGUUCAUAAGUUGUUACAAUUAAAUUACA